CCUACGGGUGGCAGCAGUGGGGAAUAUUGGGCAAUGGGCGCAAGCCUGACCCAGCAACGCCGCGUGAAGGAAGAAGGCUUUCGGGUUGUAAACUUCUUUUGUCAGGGAAGAGUAGAAGACGGUACCUGACGAAUAAGCCACGGCUAACGACGUGCCAGCAGCCGCGGUAAUACGUAGGUGGCAAGCGUGGUACGGAUUUACGGGGUGUAAAGGGCGUGUAGCCGGGUUGACAAGUCAGAUGUGAAAUCCUGCGGCUUAACCGCAGAACUGCAUUUGAAACUGUUGCUCUUGAGUACUGGAGAGGCAGGCGGAAGUCCUAGUGUAGCGGUGAAAUGCGUAGAUAUUAGGAGGAACACCAGUGGCGAAGGCGGUCUGCUGGACAGCAACUGACGGUGAGGCGCGAAAGCGUGGGGAGCAAACAGGAGUAGAUACCCGUGUAGUC
This 442-nucleotide ribosomal RNA is filed under the name uncultured bacterium. RNAcentral's name for it is "partial 16S ribosomal RNA". It matches the Rfam family "Bacterial small subunit ribosomal RNA", at positions 338 to 795 of the family's 1533-position model. The record is from RNAcentral.